AUGGAGACUUUAAGAAAUUCUUCUUUACUAGUGUCCUUCUUGUUGGCAUUUUUAAUCAUUACUUCAGAUAUGUGUAUGAAAUCAGAAGCUUCACAAGCCACAAGAAUGACUGAGAAGUUGGACUCAAGUUGCAACACAGCUGAGGAUUGUACUAUCCAAAAUCGUCAUUGUCCACCUGGACUUAUUGUCAUAUGUGCUAGUCACCAUUGUACUUGUAUACACUAGUCAAAUUAUUAGUCCAAAUCUCUCUGUUACAAACUGAGUAAUAAUUAGUGUGACAAUUGUUGUGUUUCACGUCAAUAA
Molecule: long non-coding RNA, 303 nt
Organism: Medicago truncatula (barrel medic)
Lineage: Eukaryota; Viridiplantae; Streptophyta; Magnoliopsida; Fabales; Fabaceae
Exons: 2
Source: RefSeq, a predicted model, not a curated record